UGGGGAAUAUUGGACAAUGGGCGCAAGCCUGAUCCAGCGACGCCGCGUGUGUGAAGAAGGCCUGCGGGUUGUAAAGCACUUUCGAUGGGAACGAAAUGUGCCGGGUUAAUACCCCGGUAAGCUGACGUUACUCAAUGAAGAAGCACCGGCUAACUCUGUGCCAGCAGCCGCGGUAAUACAGAGGGUGCGAGCGUUAAUCGGAAUUACUGGGCGUAAAGCGCACGUAGGUGGCGACGUAAGUCGGGUGUGAAAGCCCCGGGCUCAACCUGGGAAUUGCAUUCGAGACUGCAUUGCUGGAGUACGGAAGAGGAGGGCGGAAUUCCCGGUGUAGCGGUGAAAUGCGUAGAUAUCGGGAGGAACAUCAGUGGCGAAGGCGGCCCUCUGGUCCAGUACUGACACUCAAGUGCGAAAGCGUGGGGAGCAAACGGGAUUAGAUACCCACGUAGUCCCUGAGCGGGCUGGCAAGGCGCAU
This 472-nucleotide ribosomal RNA is filed under the name uncultured bacterium. RNAcentral describes it as "bacterial SSU rRNA". It matches the Rfam family "Bacterial small subunit ribosomal RNA", at positions 355 to 825 of the family's 1533-position model. The record is from RNAcentral.